Molecule: long non-coding RNA, 2364 nt
Organism: Oncorhynchus keta (chum salmon)
Lineage: Eukaryota; Metazoa; Chordata; Actinopteri; Salmoniformes; Salmonidae
Exons: 3
Source: RefSeq, a predicted model, not a curated record
ACACAUACAGUGUUGUGAACAAAAUAUUUGCCUCUUUUUCUAAUUUUCUCAACUUUUACAUAUUUUUGAUGCUGAAUGUUAUCUGAUCUUCAAAGAAAACAGAACAUUAGAUGAAGGGAACCUGAGUGAACAAAUAAAACAGCAUCACAUGCUUAUUUCAUGUAUUCCAUUAACACAAAGUUGUGCAACACCCAAUGCCUUGGUGUGAAAAAGUAAUUGCCCCCUCACACACAAAAACAGCUUGUACCAUCUUCAGUUGUAAUGACUCCAACCAAACUCUUCCUGUAGUGGUUGAUCAGUCGCUCACGUCUCUGUGGAGGCUUUUUGGCCCACGCUUCAAUGCAGAACAACCAGUUAUUGAGUAUAAAGGGGCAACUACUUUUUCACACAGGGGAAUUGGAUGUUGUAAAAUUGAUUUUUUUUUGUAAACUUAGGUUACCUUUAUCUAAUUUUAGGUUUUGGUUGAAGAUCUGAUAACAUGCACUAUUAAAAAUAUGCAAAAAUUUAGAAAAUCAGAAAGGGUUUAUACUUUUUCACGUGUUUGUAGAUAUCAAGGGCGUACACAGAAAAACAACCAAAUAACAGGAUGCGUCAACUCACUGUCACAAGGUGUUUGAAGCAUUGAAUAUAUACUAUACCUCUGAUCAGUUGCGAAAUGGCCUUGAAAGACAAGACUAGGGACUGUUGCAAGGUUAGGCUGAAACGACUUGAAAGACAAGACUAGGGACUGUUGCAAGGUUAGGCUGAAACGACUUGAAAGACAAGACUAGGGACUGUUGCAAGGUUAGGCUGAAACGACUUGAAAGACAAGACUAGGGACUGUUGCAAGGUUAGGCUGAAACGACUUGAAAGACAAGACUAGGGACUGUUGCAAGGUUAGGCUGAAACGACUUGAAAGACAAGACUAGGGACUGUUGCAAGGUUAGGCUGAAACGACUUGAAAGACAAGACUAGGGACUGUUGCAAGGUUAGGCUGAAACGACUUGAAAGACAAGACUAGGGACUGUUGCAAGGUUAGGCUGAAACGGCUUGAAAGACAAGACUAGGGACUGUUGCAAGGUUAGGCUGAAACGACUUGAAAGACAAGACUAGGGACUGUUGCAAGGUUAGGCUGAAACGACUUGAAAGACAAGACUAGGGACUGUUGCAAGGUUAGGCUGAAACGACUUGAAAGACAAGACUAGGGACUGUUGCAAGGUUAGGCUGAAACGACUUGAAAGACAAGACUAGGGACUGUUGCAAGGUUAGGCUGAAACGACUUGAAAGACAAGACUAGGGACUGUUGCAAGGUUAGGCUGAAACGACUUGAAAGACAAGACUAGGGACUGUUGCAAGGUUAGGCUGAAACGACUUGAAAGACAAGACUAGGGACUGUUGCAAGGUUAGGCUGAAACGACUUGAAAGACAAGACUAGGGACUGUUGCAAGGUUAGGCUGAAACGACUUGAAAGACAAGACUAGGGACUGUUGCAAGGUUAGGCUGAAACGACUUGAAAGACAAGACUAGGGACUGUUGCAAGGUUAGGCUGAAACGGCUUGAAAGACAAGACUAGGGACUGUUGCAAGGUUAGGCUGAAACGACUUGAAAGACAAGACUAGGGACUGUUGCAAGGUUAGGCUGAAACGACUUGAAAGACAAGACUAGGGACUGUUGCAAGGUUAGGCUGAAACGACUUGAAAGACAAGACUAGGGACUGUUGCAAGGUUAGGCUGAAACGACUUGAAAGACAAGACUAGGGACUGUUGCAAGGUUAGGCUGAAACGACUUGAAAGACAAGACUAGGGACUGUUGCAAGGUUAGGCUGAAACGACUUGAAAGACAAGACUAGGGACUGUUGCAAGGUUAGGCUGAAACGACUUGAAAGACAUGAAAAAUGAAAAAUUGUACAUUGUCGGAUUGUAAGGUUCUGAUCUCCUCUAUGAAUGUAAACGUUGUUUGACAAAAGCUACCAACUCUUUUAUAAGCACACGAGUGUAGUAUCCUAUAGCAGUGUUUGACUUGGACUGAAACAGGUGCCGUUUCUCAUGUUGGGGGCCAGUACUGUUUUAUAUUUAGAUGCAGUAGCUCCACAAAACCUUAAUAAGAGGAAUAGGAGCUCAAGCAGUAGACCAUGUGAGGUGUUGGCACUAUUAGAUAUAUUGAUGCAGUAGCUCCACAAAACCUUAAUAAUAUUCUACUAGAGGAAUAGGAGCUCAAACAGUAGACCAUGUGAGGUGUUGGCACUAUUAGAUAUAUUGAUGCAGUAGCUCCACAAAACCUUAAUAAUAUUCUACUAGAGGAAUAGGAGCUCAAACAGUAGACCAUGUGAGGUGUCGGUACUCAGCUCCAGUCAAACACUGAUGUAAAGAUGUAAAAUAAACAUAA